This 492-nucleotide ribosomal RNA is filed under the name uncultured bacterium. RNAcentral's name for it is "partial 16S ribosomal RNA". It matches the Rfam family "Bacterial small subunit ribosomal RNA", at positions 29 to 507 of the family's 1533-position model. The record is from RNAcentral.
AGUGAACGCUGGCGGUAGGCCUAACACAUGCAAGUCGAACGGCCGCACAGUAAGCGCUUGCUCUUACGGGUGGCGAGUGGCGGACGGGUGAGGAAUACAUCGGAAUCUACUUUUUCGUGGGGGAUAACGUAGGGACACUUACGCUAAUACCGCAUACGACCUACGGGUGAAAGCAGGGGAUCUUCGGACCUUGCGCGAUUGAAUGAGCCGAUGUCGGAUUAGCUAGUUGGCGGGGUAAAGGCACACCAAGGCGACGAUCCGUAGCUGGUCUGAGAGGAUGAUCGGCCACACUGGAACUGAGACACGGUCCAGACUCCUACGGGAGGCAGCAGUAGGGAAUAUUGGGCAAUGGGCGCAAGCCUGAUCCAGCCAUACCGCGUGAGUGAAGAAGGCCUUCGGGUUGUAAAGCCCUUUUAUUGGGAAAGAAAAACAGCAGGUUAAUACCCCGCUGUUCUGACGGUACCCAAAGAAUAAGCACCGGCUAACUUCGUG